GAAUUCGCCCUUAGAGUUUGAUCCUGGCUCAGGACGAACGCUGGCGGCGCGCUUAACACAUGCAAGUCGAACGGAGCUGAGAGGAGCUUGCUUUUCUCAGCUUAGUGGCGAACGGGUGAGUAACGCGUGAGUAACCUGCCCUGGAGUGGGGGACAACAGUUGGAAACGACUGCUAAUACCGCAUAAGCCCACGGCCCGGCAUCGGGCUGCGGGAAAAGGAUUUAUUCGCUUCAGGAUGGACUCGCGUCCAAUUAGCUAGUUGGUGAGGUAACGGCCCACCAAGGCGACGAUUGGUAGCCGGACUGAGAGGUUGAACGGCCACAUUGGGACUGAGACACGGCCCAGACUCCUACGGGAGGCAGCAGUGGGGGAUAUUGCACAAUGGGGGAAACCCUGAUGCAGCGACGCCGCGUGGAGGAAGAAGGUUUUCGGAUUGUAAACUCCUGUCGUUAGGGACGACAAUGACGGUACCUAACAAGAAAGCACCGGCUAACUACGUGCCAGCAGCCGCGGUAAAACGUAGGGUGCAAGCGUUGUCCGGAAUUACUGGGUGUAAAGGGAGCGCAGGCGGACCGGCAAGUUGGAAGUGAAAACUAUGGGCUCAACCCAUAAAUUGCUUUCAAAACUGCUGGCCUUGAGUAGUGCAGAGGUAGGUGGAAUUCCCGGUGUAGCGGUGGAAUGCGUAGAUAUCGGGAGGAACACCAGUGACGAAGGCGACCUACUGGGCACCAACUGACGCUGAGGCUCGAAAGCAUGGGUAGCAAACAGGAUUAGAUACCCUGGUAGUCCAUGCCGUAAACGAUGAUUACUAGGUGUGGGGUGUCAAAGCUCAGUGCUGCAGUUACCGCAUAAGUACUCCCCUAGAGGUAGUACCGUUGGCAAGAAUGAAACUCAAAGGAAAUAGACGGGGGCCCGCACAAGCGGUGGAAGCAUGUGGUUUAAUUUGAAGCAACGAGAAGAACCUUACCGGGUCUUGACAUCGAUCUUAAGGCUCCAGAGAUGGAGAGACAGCUAUAGAGAAGACAGGCGGUGCAUGGUUGUCGUCAGCUCGUGUCGUGAGAUGUUGGGUUAAGUCCCGCAACGAGCGCAACCCCUGUUGCCAGUUGCCAGCAUUAAGUUGGGGACUCUGGCGAGACUGCCGGUGACAAGCCGGAGGAAGGCGGGGAUGACGUCAAAUCAUCAUGCCCCUUAUGACCUGGGCUACACACGUGCUACAAUGGCCAGAGCAGAGGGAAGCGAAGCCGCGAGGUGGAGCGAAACCCAUAAAACUGUUCUCAGUUCGGACUGCAGUCUGCAACUCGACUGCACGAAGAUGGAAUCGCUAGUAAUCGCGAAUCAGCAUGUCGCGGUGAAUACGUUCUCGGCCCUUGCACACACCGCCCGUCA
This 1386-nucleotide ribosomal RNA is filed under the name uncultured bacterium. RNAcentral's name for it is "bacterial SSU rRNA". It matches the Rfam family "Bacterial small subunit ribosomal RNA". The record is from RNAcentral.